Hippocampus comes (tiger tail seahorse) is the source of this 3028-nucleotide RNA transcript. It is a transcript of the gene named ubiquilin 4, with no coding region annotated. The transcript is spliced from 11 exons. The record is from RefSeq and is a predicted model, not a curated record. NCBI's taxonomy places the organism in Eukaryota, Metazoa, Chordata, Actinopteri, Syngnathiformes, Syngnathidae.
GACCCGGAAGCAGACGCUAGUCGCGAGUUGCUUCCCAUCGGUGGAGUAAAGAUGGCUGACCAGGGCGCCGCAGAUCCUGCUAAUAACAACAAUCAAGUUGACGCCGGGGAGGGCACCAUCAUUAAGGUCACCGUGAAGACCCCCAAGGACAAGGAAGAAAUCGCCAUCGCUGAAGAUUCGUCUGUCACGCAGUUCAAGGAGGAGAUCUCCAGGCGUUUCAAAGCCAAGCAAGACCAGCUGGUGCUGAUUUUCGCAGGCAAGAUCCUGAAGGACGGCGACAGCCUCAGCCAGCAUGGCAUCAAGGAUGGGCUGACGGUGCACCUGGUUAUCAAGACGGCACAGAAGGCCUCAGAUGGAGGCAGCACUUCGACUUCAAGCUCCACGUCCACCCCGGCAGGAAGCGCCGGCGCCCCCAAUGCAGGCACCGCGCCUUCCUCCACCGCUGGGUCCACCGCCGGCUCCACCCCGGUGCCCACACAGACGCCCGGCCUGCUGAGUGAGUCCGCCGGUUUCCCGCGGCCGUCUGAGGAAACGCACCGUCGCCUUCAGCUGCAUCCCCUUCCAUUUCCCGCAGGCGGUUUCGGCGACCUGUCCACUCUGGCGGGUCUGGGCAUGGGCUCGGCCAAUUUCAUGGAGCUGCAGCAGCAGAUGCAGCGGCAGCUCAUGUCCAACCCGGAGAUGCUCUCGCAGCUCAUGGAGAACCCGCUGGUGCAGAACAUGAUGUCCAACCCGGACCUGAUGCGGCAGAUGAUGGUGUCCAACCCGCAGAUGCAGCAGCUGAUGGAGCGUAACCCGGAGAUCUCGCACAUGCUCAACAACCCCGAGCUCAUGAGACAGACCAUGGAGCUAGCUCGCAACCCGGCCAUGAUGCAGGAGAUGAUGCGCAACCAGGAUCGGGCGCUCAGCAACCUGGAAAGCAUCCCGGGCGGCUACAACGCCUUGCGCAGGAUGUACACUGACAUCCAGGAGCCCAUGUUCAGCGCCGCCAGAGAGCAGUUUGGCAACAACCCCUUCUCGGCCCUCGGCGGCGGCUCAGAGUCCGGCGUCCAGCCGUCGCGGACGGAGAACCGCGAGCCCCUUCCCAAUCCCUGGGGUCCGCCCAAUGCCUCGAACCCCCCGGAGAGCGCCGGAGGCGGUGGCGGCGGCCCGGCGGGAGGCACCAGCACCAGCACCCCCGCCGCUGGCACCAACCCCACUGUGUCCAACCCGCUGGGCGUCAACCCGGGCAGUCUGGGAAACGGAAUGUUCAACAGUCCGGGCAUGCAGAGCCUCCUGCAGCAGAUCUCGGAAAACCCCCAGCUCAUGCAGAACAUGCUGUCGGCCCCCUACAUGCGCAGCAUGAUGCAGUCGCUGUCCCAGAAUCCAGAGUUGGCCUCCCAGGUGAUGAUGAAUAAUCCCUUGUUUGCCGGCAACCCACAGCUGCAGGAACAGUUCCGAUCUCAGCUUCCCGUCUUUUUGCAGCAGAUGCAGAACCCAGAGGCGUUAUCGGUGAUGACGAACCCGCGCGCCAUGCAAGCGCUCAUGCAGAUCCAACAGGGCCUUCAGACACUGCAAACAGAAGCACCCGGACUCAUGCCCAGUUUGAUGUCAGGCGGCCUUCCCGGUAGCAUCCCCGGCAGCAUUCCCGGCAUCCCAUCGGGCGGCAGCGCGCCCACCGAGAACCCCGCGUCCUCGCCCAGCAGCGCCGGGACACCGCCAAACGUCGCCCAGCAGCAGCUGAUGCAACAGAUGCUUCAAAUGUUCGCCGGGGGAGGCGCUGCGAACCAGACCCCCGAGGUCCGCUUCCAGUCGCAGCUGGACCAACUGAACGCCAUGGGCUUCAUCAACCGCGAGGCCAAUCUACAGGCCCUCAUCGCCACUGGAGGGGACAUCAACGCCGCUAUCGAGAGACUGUUGGGCUCGCAACCCUCGUAAAGACACAUUCUCACACACACACACAGUACAUUCUGCCGCCUGACACACACACAUAUAUAUAUCACAGGCACGUCAUGCCACAUCCACAGACAAAAAGUUUCGCAAAUUGAUCCCAAACUUUAACAAAGACACUUUGGGCAAGAUCUGAUGCCUCCCUUUUUUUUUUUUUUUUUUUUUUUUUUUUUGUCACCGCCCCCCUCCCCUGCUCCAUUCCGAUAUUUGUCCCUCUUCUGUUGGCGCCAUCCACUCAGAGUCUCCCAUAGGUGGUCACCUUCAUUUCGUGGCAAAAAAACGGGACGGCCUCUCCGUUCUCGAGCUCAAAGCACGCAAUGCGCUUGGCCUGCCGCGGCUCGACGGGUGCGCGCGAACCAAGGUGUCGUUUGUUCCUCCCGACUUCCCGCUUUCUGUUCUCGAUCAAAGCAACGUUUGCUCCAACUUCGCGGCUUUCCAAAUGAUGCCCUCCGCACGUGUAGUUUGUCAUUCCAGGUUCAACAGAAGAAGAAGAGAAAAAAAAAGUGUCUUUGUGUGUCUGAGGCACCGCUGCUGUGCCUUUUGUGUCCUUACCUUCAAUGCGAGACCCCCACGUGUGUGUGUGUGUGGAUGUAGGGAAAGGGGGGUGGGCGCAAAUGAGGGGUGGGCGCGAGUUAAAACCAUGCAUCCGCACAUCACUGGACUUAUUGGACGCAAAGAGUUGGCAUCCGCAACGCUGACAUUAUGAAGCAAAAUGAGAUUUUCUUUCACUUUAAUCUGAUGAUUUACUUCUUUUGAGUCUUUUUUUUUUCGGGGGGGAACAUGUAAAUUAAACCAUGAAUCAGUUGAAUCAGUUGGCUUGACAAAAGAAUUCUAGUAUGGCCUGCCAUACGUUUCUGAAGAAAAAUAAACAAACGCUAGAUCGUCAUAUAUCUCCAUUUUUUUUUUCUCCUUUGGAAAAUCUCAGCAUUGUAGUUGUGGUUACCGUGGCAACUGCUUCUCUGGCUUUGCUUUGUUCGAUGACCUCAGCUGAAAACAACAAAAUUAAAGAAAAUCCAUCUCCCAAUUUGAACAUGUUGGAACUAACUUUUAACAGUCCUGUACUAAAAGAAAAAAUAAAAUAAAAAUGAAACGUCAAAAACUU